RNAcentral lists this ribosomal RNA (249 nucleotides) under uncultured bacterium. RNAcentral's name for it is "partial 16S ribosomal RNA". It matches the Rfam family "Bacterial small subunit ribosomal RNA", at positions 334 to 580 of the family's 1533-position model. The record is from RNAcentral.
AGGACCUACGGGACGCAGCAGUGAGGAAUAUUGGUCAAUGGCCGGAAGGCUGAACCAGCCAAGCCGCGUGAAGGACGAAGGUGCCAAGCAUUGUAAACUUCUUUUGUCAAGGGACAAAAUCAGGCUCGAGAGCCUGACCGCGGGUACUUGAAGAAAAAGCAUCGGCUAACUCCGUGCCAGCAGCCGCGGUACUACGGAGGAUGCGAGCGAUAUCCGGAUUUAGUGGGUUUAAAGGGUGCGUAGGCGGAC